GCUGGCGGUAGGCUUAACACAUGCAAGUCGUGCGAGAAAGUACCUUCGGGUGCGAGUAGAGCGGCGGACGGGUGAGUAACGCGUAGGAAUCUACCUAGUAGAAGGGGAUAGCCCGAGGAAACUCGGAUUAAUACCGUAUACCUCCUUAGGGAGAAAGAGGGCUUAGCUUUGAUGCUCUCGCUAUUAGAUGAGCCUGCGUAAGAUUAGCUUGUUGGUGAGGUAAUGGCUCACCAAGGCGACGAUCUUUAGCUGGUCUGAGAGGACGAUCAGCCACAUUGGGACUGAGACACGGCCCAGACUCCUACGGGAGGCAGCAGUGGGGAAUAUUGGACAAUGGGCGCAAGCCUGAUCCAGCCAUACCGCGUGUGUGAAGAAGGCUUUCGGGUUGUAAAGCACUUUAAGUAAGGAGAAAAAGAUUGUAGUUAAUACCUGCAAUCCUUGAUGUUACUUACAGAAUAAGGACCGGCUAAUUCCGUGCCAGCAGCCGCGGUAAUACGGAAGGUCCAAGCGUUAAUCGGAAUUACUGGGCGUAAAGCGCGCGUAGGUGGUUUUUUAAGUUGGAUGUGAAAGCCCUGGGCUCAACCUAGGAACUGCAUCCAAAACUAGAUGACUAGAGUACGAAAGAGGGAAGUAGAAUUCACAGUGUAGCGGUGGAAUGCGUAGAUAUUGUGAAGAAUACCAAUGGCGAAGGCAGCUUCCUGGUUCUGUACUGACACUAAGGUGCGAAAGCGUGGGUAGCGAACAGGAUUAGAUACCCUGGUAGUCCACGCCGUAAACGAUGACAACUAGCUGUUGGGAGACAAGAUCUCUCAGUGGCGCAGCUAACGCUUUAAGUUGUCCGCCUGGGGAGUACGGCCGC
RNAcentral lists this ribosomal RNA (859 nucleotides) under uncultured Gammaproteobacteria bacterium. RNAcentral describes it as "bacterial SSU rRNA". It matches the Rfam family "Bacterial small subunit ribosomal RNA", at positions 35 to 889 of the family's 1533-position model. The record is from RNAcentral. Lineage: Bacteria; Pseudomonadati; Pseudomonadota; Gammaproteobacteria.